CCUACGGGGGGCAGCAGUGAGGAAUAUUGGUCAAUGGCCGCGAGGCUGAACCAGCCAAGUCGCGUGAAGGAUGAAUGUCCUAUGGAUUGUAAACCUCUUUUGUCAGGGAGCAAAGUGAGCCACGUGUGGCUGUUUGAGUGUACCUGAAGAAAAAGCAUCGGCUAACUCCGUGCCAGCAGCCGCGGUAAUACGGAGGAUGCGAGCGUUAUCCGGAUUUAUUGGGUUUAAAGGGUGCGUAGGCGGGUUAUUAAGUCAGGGGUAAAAUCGUGGAGCUCAACUUCAUACUGCCAUUGAAACUGGUGAUCUUGAGUGGACGAGAGGUAGGCGGAAUGCGUGGUGUAGCGGUGAAAUGCAUAGAUAUCACGAAGAACUCCGAUUGCGAAGGCAGCAUACUGGAGCGCGACUGACACUGAUGCACGAAAGCGUGGGUAUCGAACAGGAUUAGAUACCCGAGUAGUC
This 459-nucleotide ribosomal RNA is filed under the name uncultured bacterium. Its description in RNAcentral is "partial 16S ribosomal RNA". It matches the Rfam family "Bacterial small subunit ribosomal RNA", at positions 338 to 795 of the family's 1533-position model. The record is from RNAcentral.